UUGGAACCUCAUAAAAUACUCUAGGCCAGACCAUUUGCUGUUGUAAACAGGCAAUGGAACUACAUAAAUUCACAUCAACUAAGAAUCUGGUCCUCUUCCCUUUUCAGAUCGUUCUACCAGACGCAUCAUAACCUCUUGGAUGGACUAGAUUGGAAAGAUGUUUCUUAAAUUUAUGAAGAGGCUUCUUCCAGACGUCCUCAGCAGCUGAAGGGAAACACUGAAUGCUGAAAUCUGGUCUUGGGCUUAUCAUCAACAACAGGAUGUGAAAAAUUAUGUAUGAAAAGUACAAGGACAGCAUGCUUUCCAAUGCUUGGCAUGGGCGGAGGAAGGGAAGAGACUUACCAGGGGCAAUGGGGCAAAAGAAAAUCCCCAUGUGUGUGUAGAGAAAGAAACAUCUUCACUUGCCCCAUUGUGUUGCAGUAUUGCCAACUCCAAUUGUUUGCAAGUCAAGUCCCAGCAAAUCAUGAAACUAUCGACAAAAAUAAUGAGAUUUACAAAAUAAUAGCUCUUGGGUUCUUUUCACUUUGCCUCUUGGCUGGGGCUGGAGCCUUUUGGGUUCCCAGUCAAGCUUUUCUCUGCACCAUGAGAGCUGGCAGCUUGCUGGCUUUUAAAGAAAGCUGUGACCUGAUUGCAGCAGCUGGGGCUCUCAGGAAAGCACCCGCUGUGGGGUGAGCUGGCAGUA
Long non-coding RNA from Trachemys scripta elegans, 682 nucleotides. RefSeq lists it as uncharacterized. The record is from RefSeq and is a predicted model, not a curated record. The transcript is spliced from 3 exons. NCBI's taxonomy places the organism in Eukaryota, Metazoa, Chordata, Testudines, Emydidae.